Molecule: ribosomal RNA, 253 nt
Filed under: uncultured bacterium
Lineage: Bacteria
Description: partial 16S ribosomal RNA
Rfam family: Bacterial small subunit ribosomal RNA
Source: RNAcentral
UACGUAGGGUGCAGGCGUUAAUCGGAAUUACUGGGCGUAAAGCGUGCGCAGGCGGUUUCUUAAGUCAGAUGUGAAAGCCCCGGGCUUAACCUGGGAACUGCGUUUGAAACUGGGAGACUUGAGUGUGGCAGAGGGGGGUGGAAUUCCACGUGUAGCAGUGAAAUGCGUAGAUAUGCGGAGGAACACCGAUGGCGAAGGCAAUCCCCUGGACCUGUACUGACGCUCAUGCACGAAAGCGUGGGGAGCAAACAGG